RNAcentral lists this ribosomal RNA (465 nucleotides) under uncultured bacterium. RNAcentral describes it as "partial 16S ribosomal RNA". It matches the Rfam family "Bacterial small subunit ribosomal RNA", at positions 338 to 795 of the family's 1533-position model. The record is from RNAcentral.
CCUACGGGUGGCAGCAGUGGGGAAUAUUGCGCAAUGGGCGUAAGCCUGACGCAGCGACGCCGCGUGAGGGAUGAAGGUCUUCGGAUCGUAAACCUCUGUCAGCAGGGAAGAACGGUCACUGUGCUAAUCAGCAGUGAAUUGACGGUACCUGCAAAGGAAGCACCGGCUAACUCCGUGCCAGCAGCCGCGUUAAUACGGAGGGUGCGAGCGUUAAUCGGAAUUACUGGGCGGAAAGCGCUCGUAGGCGGUAUGUCAAGUCAGAGGUGAAAUCCCCGCGCUCAACGUGGGAACUGCCUUUGAAACUGGCAAACUGGAGUGUGUGAGAGGAUAGUGGAAUUCCAGGUGUAGGAGUGAAAUGCGUAGAUAUCAGGAGGAACAUCAGUGGCGAAGGCGACUAUCUGGCACAUAACUGACGCUGAGGAGCGAAAGCGUGGGUAGCAAACAGGAUUAGAUACCCCUGUAGUC